Long non-coding RNA from Notolabrus celidotus (New Zealand spotty), 536 nucleotides. RefSeq lists it as uncharacterized. The record is from RefSeq and is a predicted model, not a curated record. NCBI's taxonomy places the organism in Eukaryota, Metazoa, Chordata, Actinopteri, Labriformes, Labridae. The transcript is spliced from 3 exons.
UGUUCAGAGAAUCGUUUCCUGAGCUCAUGUGCAUCCAAGAAGACCUGCCAGCCUCCUGUCAUCAUACAGUGUUGUUAAAUGAACCCUUCUGAAUCGGAAAUCACCUCAGAAAUGUUUCUCUUUGACUACCAAUGAUGGAUACUCGGAUCCUGUUGGGAGACAACAAACUUUGUUAUCUUGAGGCAUGGAGGAAACAAGUGAAGUCAUGACGUAAUCAGAGGAAAACCAGCAUUAUCAAGAUAACAAGAUAAGUAAGAGCAGUCAGAGAUAUCGACGUGGCCUAUAGAACGGCAGAGCGAGGGAUGCUGCCGAUCUUUAAGGAAUCAUGGAGCUGUAAAAGCAUGAGGAACCAUAUUCCCUUCUCAGAUUGUGAAGUCCAAUCACUGCCUGUGGGAAGAAAAAAAAAAGGGUUAGGGGCAAAUUAAACGAUCAAAGAGAAGGGCACUUCUAUGCUUUAAUUCACCCUGAACACCACUCUGAAAUAUGGCUUUUUUUAACAGAAAAGCACGGUGGAUGAAAAGGGUCUGUUUUACAUU